This 207-nucleotide ribosomal RNA is filed under the name Triticum aestivum (bread wheat). RNAcentral describes it as "partial small subunit ribosomal RNA". Lineage: Eukaryota; Viridiplantae; Streptophyta; Magnoliopsida; Poales; Poaceae. The record is from RNAcentral.
AUGGCUCGUACUAAGCAGACUGCUCGUAAGUCCACUGGAGGAAAGGCUCCUAGGAAGCAGCUAGCCACCAAGGCUGCCCGUAAGUCUGCUCCCACAACUGGAGGAGUGAAGAAGCCUCACCAUUACCACCCUGGAACUGUUGCUCUUCGUGAGAUCCGCAAGUACCAGAAGAGCACAGAGCUGCUCAUCAGGAAGCUUCCAUUCUAG